Long non-coding RNA from Saccostrea cuccullata (small rock oyster), 263 nucleotides. RefSeq lists it as uncharacterized. The record is from RefSeq and is a predicted model, not a curated record. Lineage: Eukaryota; Metazoa; Mollusca; Bivalvia; Ostreida; Ostreidae. The transcript has 4 exons.
UAGAUUUUGUUAUUCUAUAGACUUAUACAACUAGCAAAGUUGACGAAAUGUCACAAAAUGAACAAAUGCGUUCAUUUACCUUUGUCAGCAUAUUACUAGUUUCAAUACAAGGAUAUGACGCAACGGAAACUUGUUUUUCUUGUGAUGACGUAACUGAUGCUUCAGUUUGCUUCACGAACACAAAGGUUUGCCAGCCAGAGGAGAUUUGUUACACUUCAACAACCCUCGACGAAUUAGGAGUAUUACAUCACAGCUCUGGGUGU